This 300-nucleotide ribosomal RNA is filed under the name uncultured Marinospirillum sp. Its description in RNAcentral is "partial 16S ribosomal RNA". It matches the Rfam family "Bacterial small subunit ribosomal RNA", at positions 496 to 795 of the family's 1533-position model. Lineage: Bacteria; Pseudomonadati; Pseudomonadota; Gammaproteobacteria; Oceanospirillales; Oceanospirillaceae. The record is from RNAcentral.
GCGGACUCGCUGGCAGUGGAGCGGGCUAUAGGGAUGGUGUAUGCGUGAGUCUGACGUAUGGGGCGGCAAGCGCGCGUAGGCGAUUUAGGAAGUGUUGUGGGAAAGCCGCGUGCUUAACUCGGGAAGUGAACCAGAAACUGUGGAAUUUGAGUUCCGGAGAGGAAGGCAGAAUUCCCGGUGUAGCGGUGAAAUGCGUAGAUAGCGGGAGGAAUACCAGUGGCGAAGGCGGCCUUCUGGACGGAUACUGACGCUGAGGCGCGAAAGCCAGGGGAGCAAACGGGAUUAGAUACCCGAGUAGUC